This 76-nucleotide transfer RNA is filed under the name Candidatus Glomeribacter sp. 1016415. Its description in RNAcentral is "tRNA-Lys". It matches the Rfam family "tRNA". Rfam says of the family: Transfer RNA (tRNA) molecules are approximately 80 nucleotides in length. Lineage: Bacteria; Pseudomonadati; Pseudomonadota; Betaproteobacteria; Burkholderiales; Burkholderiaceae. The record is from RNAcentral. RNAcentral also lists the same sequence under 4 other names.
GGGGCGUUAGCUCAGUUGGUAGAGCAGCGGACUCUUAAUCCGUAGGUCGAGCGUUCGAGCCGCUCACGCCCCACCA